This 497-nucleotide ribosomal RNA is filed under the name uncultured bacterium. RNAcentral's name for it is "partial 16S ribosomal RNA". It matches the Rfam family "Bacterial small subunit ribosomal RNA", at positions 28 to 507 of the family's 1533-position model. The record is from RNAcentral.
GAUGAACGCUGGCGGCGUGCCUAAUACAUGCAAGUCGAGCGAACGGACGAGAAGCUUGCUUCUCUGAUGUUAGCGGCGGACGGGUGAGUAACACGUGGAUAACCUACCUAUAAGACUGGGAUAACUUCGGGAAACCGGAGCUAAUACCGGAUAAUAUUUUGAACCGCAUGGUUCAAAAGUGAAAGACGGUCUUGCUGUCACUUAUAGAUGGAUCCGCGCUGCAUUAGCUAGUUGGUAAGGUAACGGCUUACCAAGGCAACGAUGCAUAGCCGACGUGAGAGGGGGAUAGGCGACAUUGGAACGGAGACACGGUCCAGACGCCUAAGGGAGGCAGCAGUAGGGAAUCUGACGCAGUGGGCGAAAGCAUGACGGAGCAACGCCGCGUGAGUGAUGAAGGUCUUCGGAGCGUAAAACUCGGUUAUGAGGGAAGAACAGAUGUGGAAGUAACUGUGCACAUCUUGACGGUACCGAAUCAGAAAGCCACGGCUAACUACGUG